Molecule: ribosomal RNA, 403 nt
Filed under: uncultured bacterium
Lineage: Bacteria
Description: bacterial SSU rRNA
Rfam family: Bacterial small subunit ribosomal RNA
Source: RNAcentral
GGGAAUCUUGCGCAAUGGGCGAAAGCCUGACGCAGCCAUGCCGCGUGAAUGAUGAAGGUCUUAGGAUUGUAAAAUUCUUUCACCGGGGACGAUAAUGACGGUACCCGGAGAAGAAGCCCCGGCUAACUUCGUGCCAGCAGCCGCGGUAAUACGAAGGGGGCUAGCGUUGCUCGGAAUUACUGGGCGUAAAGGGCGCGUAGGCGGACAUUUAAGUCAGGGGUGAAAUCCCAGAGCUCAACUCUGGAACUGCCUUUGAUACUGGGUGUCUUGAGUGUGAGAGAGGUAUGUGGAACUCCGAGUGUAGAGGUGAAAUUCGUAGAUAUUCGGAAGAACACCAGUGGCGAAGGCGACAUACUGGCUCAUUACUGACGCUGAGGCGCGAAAGCGUGGGGAGCAAACAGGA